ACGGGUAGCCGGCCUGAGAGGGCGACCGGCCACAUUGGGACUGAGAUACGGCCCAGACUCCUACGGGAGGCAGCAGUGGGGAAUAUUGCACAAUGGGCGCAAGCCUGAUGCAGCGACGCCGCGUGAGGGAUGGAGGCCUUCGGGUUGUAAACCUCUUUUGUUAGGGAGCAAGGCACUUUGUGUUGAGUGUACCUUUCGAAUAAGCACCGGCUAACUACGUGCCAGCAGCCGCGGUAAUACGUAGGGUGCAAGCGUUAUCCGGAAUUAUUGGGCGUAAAGGGCUCGUAGGCGGUUCGUCGCGUCCGGUGUGAAAGUCCAUCGCUUAACGGUGGAUCCGCGCCGGGUACGGGCGGGCUUGAGUGCGGUAGGGGAGACUGGAAUUCCCGGUGUAACGGUGGAAUGUGUAGAUAUCGGGAAGAACACCAAUGGCGAAGGCAGGUCUCUGGGCCGUUACUGACGCUGAGGAGCGAAAGCGUGGGGAGCGAACAGGAUUAGAUACCCUGGUAGUCCACGCCGUAAACGGUGGAUGCUGGAUGUGGGGCCCGUUCCACGGGUUCCGUGUCGGAGCUAACGCGUUAAGCAUCCCGCCUGGGGAGUACGGCCGCAAGGCUAAAACUCAAAGAAAUUGACGGGGGCCCGCACAAGCGGCGGAGCAUGCGGAUUAAUUCGAUGCAACGCGAAGAACCUUACCUGGGCUUGACAUGUUCCCGACGAUCCCAGAGAUGGGGUUUCCCUUCGGGGCGGGUUCACAGGUGGUGCAUGGUCGUCGUCAGCUCGUGUCGUGAGAUGUUGGGUUAAGUCCCGCAACGAGCGCAACCCUCGCCCCGUGUUGCCAGCGGAUUGUGCCGGGAACUCACGGGGGACCGCCGGGGUUAACUCGGAGGAAGGUGGGGAUGACGUCAGAUCAUCAUGCCCCUUACGUCCAGGGCUUCACGCAUGCUACAAUGGCCGGUACAACGGGAUGCGACAGCGCGAGCUGGAGCGGAUCCCUGAAAACCGGUCUCAGUUCGGAUCGCAGUCUGCAACUCGACUGCGUGAAGGCGGAGUCGCUAGUAAUCGCGAAUCAGCAACGUCGCGGUGAAUGCGUUCCCGGGCCUUGUACACACCGCCCGUCAAGUCAUGAAAGUGGGCAGCACCCGAAGCCGGUGGCCUAACCCCUUGCGGGAGGGAGCCGUCUAAGGUGAGGCUCGUGAUUGGGACUAAGUCGUAACAAGGUAGCCGUACCGGAAGGUGCGGCUGGAUCACCUCCUUU
This 1252-nucleotide ribosomal RNA is filed under the name Enterobacter sp. RNAcentral's name for it is "bacterial SSU rRNA". It matches the Rfam family "Bacterial small subunit ribosomal RNA", at positions 279 to 1533 of the family's 1533-position model. The record is from RNAcentral. Lineage: Bacteria; Pseudomonadati; Pseudomonadota; Gammaproteobacteria; Enterobacterales; Enterobacteriaceae.